RNAcentral lists this long non-coding RNA (2507 nucleotides) under Marmota monax (woodchuck). The record is from RNAcentral. Lineage: Eukaryota; Metazoa; Chordata; Mammalia; Rodentia; Sciuridae.
CUAUUUUAGUCUGUGAUUCAUCUUGCAUUGUUAAUUCUAUCAAAUUACUUAUGUAUGCAAAAUUUUGAUAUAAAUGCCUUAAUGCAAUAACAAACCUUAAGACAGAAAAUCAUAAAGGAAAAAUACUUUUACUCCUAUUGACAAAAGAUUAUCACUAUUUUAAUCAUAGUACUCCCAAUAUCAUAUGUAUUUAUACAUCAAAUUAUAUGUAUUUUCCAAAAAUAUUUUUGCAUAUUACUUUUUAGUCUGCUCUAUUUAUUUAGUAAAAUAACAUGGACAUUUCUUCAUAACUAUAAAUAUUUAGUUAUGGCUUCUUUAUCAAUUAGGUUUAGAAAUUAGCUUAAUAACCACAUUCUAACCUGAUGUUCAUCCAGUUGUUUUUGAAAGAUAAUCUAUUUCUUUGUUGGAUGCACACCUACUGUUUCUUCUUUGGAACUGGAAUAAAGAGAAAUAACUUCACAAUAUGUCCUUCAAGGACAUCUGACACAUGGUACCUGAUGCACCCACAAGCCUUCCUCAUUGUGCACCCACUGCCUAAAUGACAGGCACCAUGUAAGCAAAGCCCUCAUCAGAUUCUAUUUCCUGGGACAGGAUCCAGAAUGCUUGGACUGUGCCCAGAAUCAGAGAAAGAUAUUUCAGGUUUCAAACAAGUUAGAGUGUUAGGGCUCUGUUCUUGUUGGGGCUGAGAUCCAGCAGCAAUAGCCAGGAGUAGAGAGCAAAAGAUAAGCUAAUCUGAUUGAGCCAGAGUUUGCUUUAAAAAAUCUAAUGCUUUAAUUUCUUGAAGACUACUAUCAUCUGAAUGUUUGUGUCCCCAUCCCCCAGAUUAUAUGUUGAAAUCUCAAUGUCCAAGGAGAUGGUAUUAGAAAAAUAGGUGUUGCAAGGUGAUUGGAUUAUGAAGAUGGGACCCUCAUGAAUCAGAGCAGUGAUCUCAUAAGAGACCCUUACCCCAUCCACCAUGUGAGGACCCAGCAAGAAGAUACACUCGGUGAAGGGGAAACGGAGGAAGCUGAUCUUCACCAGACAAGGAAUCUGCAGGCACCUUCACCUUGGACUUCCCAGAUUGUGAAAACUGAGUUUCUACCCAGCGAUGGUACUUUGUUGUAGCAGCCCAAAUGAACUGAGACAAUCUCACUGCAAGAAAUGGCUACACUGCUGUGAAUUAUGCUAGCAGCACAUGCAAAUUCUGCUUCAGAGCUCUGGACUCCUUUUCGUGUCUGUUCCCUCCCUUACCCCUGCCCAAAUUCCAAAUGUGGUCAGGCUGCCCCAGAAUGUGCAGACACAAAUGAGGCAUAAGCCAUUUGGUCCAUUCAUUCCUACAAAACAUUAUUGAAAUACAUGUGGGCUUUCCCAAGUACAUUUUAAACCUAUGCUUAAUCAUCAUACUGUUGAAUCAUUCCAGUUCUCCAUUUUACUCCUCAGUCUCCUGAGAUUUUUUUUAUUGCUAGCCUCAGGCACAGUGCCUGACUCACAGUAGCACACUGAGAAAUGUUUGUUGGAACUAAUGAUUAAAUGAAUGAAAAUGAAUAUAUUUUUUUUAAAUCAUGAAUUUCUAGUGCUGCAAUGGCAGACUUUUCUGGUUCAAGGUUUUGUUCCUGAAAUCUUUCAAAUCCCAUGUGACAUUUCACUCAUCUUUAAAAGAUUAGACUUGAGUAGGCAGCAUAGACAUUUGCAAUGUCACAAGAUUGGUAAACUAAUUCAAGUUUAUAGUCCAAGGUGCUGCUGAAGGCUUAGGAAAUCAACUUUAUUCUGAUAUUUUUAAAAUGUAGGAGAUAAAUAAAUUCUAAGGCCAUUUUACUGCCACUGUGUGGCUCAGGUUCACCUAGGCAAGAUGAAAUCAUUAAGUGUGUUUUUAUCUACCAAACAAGGCCUGUCAAGGCUUAAGAAAACAGAACGAGCUCCAGGUCUACAACUUGGACAAAGCAGUAUGCAACAAUCAUAUUACAUACCACCUUCACUGGUUAAUCCUUUCUCCAAAUUCUGGUUGCAAUGGCUUAGAAUUAUACAGUUAUUUAGAUGGGCAUGGAGCUACUCAAAUUAGUCCACACCCUCUUUCAUUUCCACCCAUUGAUGUAUUAUGCCUGGCACUUAACAUUUGGACAGUAUCUAAUCCUUUCUACUGAUACCAAUUUAAGUAACCAGGAUUAUGUCUUAUUCAGUAUUGUUUCACCUACUCUUAUAAAAGUACCUAGCAUAUAAGAUUAAUUAAAUAAUUUCCUUUUCUAAAUGCUGGGCAGCCUGUGAUUCAUAGUGGGAUUUGGAGGCAGCAUGGGAGGAUUAGACAAACUCUACAUAAGGCAAAGGGGUGGGAGGAGAAAUGAAGGGGCAUGGGGGUAAAAAAGACGGUGGAAUGAGAUGGACAUCAUUACCCUAAGUACAUGUAUGAAGACACAAAUUGUGUGAAUAUAUUUCGUAUACAAUCAGAGAUAUGAAAAAUUGAAAAAAAUAUGAAAAAAUGCUCUAUAUGUGUAAUAUGAAUUGUAAUGCAUUCUGCUGUCAACAAGAAAAUG